UGGGGAAUAUUGCGCAAUGGGGGAAACCCUGACGCAGCAACGCCGCGUGGGUGAUGAAGGCCUUCGGGUCGUAAAGCCCUGUCAGCAGGGAAGAAACUCCGGGAUUCGAAUAGGGUCUCGGAUUGACGGUACCUGCGGAGGAAGCACCGGCUAACUCCGUGCCAGCAGCCGCGGUAAAACGGAGGGUGCAAGCGUUGUUCGGAAUUACUGGGCAUAAAGCGCGCGUAGGUGGUCGAGUAAGUCGAAUGUGAAAGCCCCGGGCUCAACCCGGGAAGUGCAUCCGAAACUGCUCGACUAGAGUCCCGGAGAGGAAGGCAGAAUUCCCAAUGUAGGGGUGAAAUCCGUAGAUAUUGGGAGGAAUACCGGUGGCGAAGGCGGCCUUCUGGACGGUGACUGACACUCAGACGCGAAAGCGUGGGGAGCAAACAGGAUUAGAUACCCAAGUAGUCCCUGAGCGGGCUGGCAAGGCGCAU
RNAcentral lists this ribosomal RNA (473 nucleotides) under uncultured bacterium. RNAcentral's name for it is "bacterial SSU rRNA". It matches the Rfam family "Bacterial small subunit ribosomal RNA", at positions 355 to 825 of the family's 1533-position model. The record is from RNAcentral.